This 460-nucleotide ribosomal RNA is filed under the name uncultured bacterium. RNAcentral's name for it is "partial 16S ribosomal RNA". It matches the Rfam family "Bacterial small subunit ribosomal RNA", at positions 338 to 795 of the family's 1533-position model. The record is from RNAcentral.
CCUACGGGUGGCAGCAGUGAGGAAUAUUGGUCAAUGGCCGGAAGGCUGAACCAGCCAUGCCGCGUGAAGGUCAGUGCCCUAUGGGCGUUAAACUUCUUUUGUGCGGGAGCAAUAAUGGUCACGUGUGGCCAGACGAGAGUACCGUACGAAUAAGCAACGGCUAACUCCUGGCCAGCAGCCGGGGUAAUACGGGGGAUGUAAGCGGUAUCCGGAUUUAUUGGGUGUAAAGGGUGCGUAGGCUGUGAGGUAAGUCAGCGGUGAAAUGUCCCCGCUCAAGGGGGUGAAGUGCAAUUGAUACUGGCUUGCUGGAGUGCGGAUGAGGUGGGAGGAAUGUGUGGUGUAGCGGUGAAAUGCAUAGAUAUCACACAGAACACCGAUUGCGAAGGCAUCUCACGAAUCCGCGAUUGACGCUGAUGUACGAAAGCGUGGGUAUCAAACAGGAUUAGAUACCCUUGUAGUC